Molecule: transfer RNA, 68 nt
Filed under: Nycteribia formosana
Lineage: Eukaryota; Metazoa; Arthropoda; Insecta; Diptera; Nycteribiidae
Description: tRNA-Met
Rfam family: tRNA
About the family: Transfer RNA (tRNA) molecules are approximately 80 nucleotides in length. Their secondary structure includes four short double-helical elements and three loops (D, anti-codon, and T loops).
Source: RNAcentral
AAAAAGAUAAGCUAAUUAAGCUCUUGGGUUCAUACCCCAUUUAUAAAGGUAAAAUCCUUUUCUUUUUA